This 3966-nucleotide long non-coding RNA is filed under the name Capsicum annuum. RNAcentral describes it as "long non-coding RNA (CANN_LNC015683)". The record is from RNAcentral. Lineage: Eukaryota; Viridiplantae; Streptophyta; Magnoliopsida; Solanales; Solanaceae.
GCUAAAUAUAUAUCUUGGGAUUGUGUUGGAAUAAGGUGUGUCCUGCCCCAUUUUCCUCACAAAAAGCGAGAUUCGACGUGACAAAGUCUUUUUUUGCGAUUGUUUGAAUGGUAGAGUACGAAGAGUCGCCACCUAACGAAUUAACGUGCGUUAGGGCACCAGUCUAGGCUACUACGAACCUAUUUUGUCAUCUUGUCUUAGUUCACCAGAGUUUGGGAAAGGGUUCAAAUUACCUCGAAAGAAAGGUGUUAGGCACCUUUCGAGGUCCACAAAGGUAGUUCCCGGCCGAAUUCAUACUUUAUGUGGGGAUUCUAUGUGGUUAAAUAAGGUCUGUUGUUUUAUUAUUAAUUUUACAUUUAGCUAAGUGAUAAAGCAAUUAACAAACGUUUAACUAAUUUAUUUUAGCUAUUAAUCGUCUAAUUAAUAAAAUAUAUAACCAAGACAAGUGAGAAGAAAGAAGGAAAACAAUUAUAAUAAUGGGGACUGCUUACGUAAUAACUAACUACCCCAAGUAAAUGAAUAAAUAAAGAAAAUUGUCAUGAACAAAGAAGAGUUUUUGGUCUUAUUCAGAUCAGCCCCAACUUGUUUAGUCAUUAUUUGACCAAAGGGCCGAAAUCAAGUUACAAUGUCAUUUAGCCUUUUAGUCAUUACCUAUUGGGAUCAUCAUUUCCAAAUGGCUACCCGUCCCACCCCACCUAGGCUGGAUGUUAAGUGUAAAGGAUUUCUAUGACAAGGAUAAAACUAGCUUCUUUUAAAAAUACUUAUCGUCCUCCCUAUAGUCCAAAAGGCAUGGGACUUUAUUAUUUUCGGAUUUGUGUUCUAGACAAAAGUAAAGCUAUGUUGCCUAGGACUCGAAGCGUUUAACAGGCUGGACAGCAAGUACCACAUAAUAAUCCCAAGUUAUCCUCUUGGUCAAUUACUGUUUGUUAGUGUGAUAGCAUGCACAGAAAAAUAACUAUUGUUGAAUAACCUAUAGGCAUGAUGUCCAAAUGUUCAAAAAGUGGUGACAAAAGGACAACUGUGAUUCAUGUAUGCAACAAUGUGUGUUAAAAGGGUGUCAAAGGUGUGGUAAUUAUGUCAAGAAACUAUGCUCAUGACAUCCUAAGAUGUAUAACUCUUAAUGUUUAACCUGCUAGAAGUAUGCAAAGAUGCCUAGAAAUCACAUAUUUAACAUGCUGAAAUUGUAUUUAAACAUGCUGAAAAUAAUAUUAAGGCAUAGAAUAUUCAUGUUAAUAAGUAGAGACUUACCAAGAAUGCCUAAAACUUGUUGAAGAUUAGUGUGCUAGUAUUUCAACAUGUUGGGCAUUAAUUGAUAGACUGACAAUUAAUUUGCUGUGCUAGAAAUUCAACAUGCUCAUAUUUUUUAUUGUGUAAAGCAUACUGAAAUUUAAUGCAGACAUUUAUACGUCAAAACUUGGUUGAUAUGAUGAAUAUCAAAUUCACAUGAUAACAAUAUAUUAAUUGAUAAAAUUAAUUCAUUCUUCAGAUUUAUAAUGACGGGUUAAUGUUUAACAUACUGAAUACGAAAUGUCAUGUUACAUGUACUGUUAUGCAAGAAAUUAUUUUAGCAAAGUAAAAAAAACUUGAUUGCUGAAAGUUAUAUUACUAAUGCAAUAAUUUGCAUCAACAUACUAAAAUUCAAAAAAUGGCUCAUUCAUUAUUUAAUAUGCUAAAAAAUAUAGAAAUUUUAACAUUCAAAUAUGCUAAAAACACUUUAAUUUGCAAAAGAUGUAUUUAAACUCUGAAACAUGUGAGAAUUUAUUUCUUAAGACUAAGAAGCUAUAGCAAUGUAUGAAAUUGUUCAAUUGUUAAAGAAACAUUUGAUUAUUUAAAAAGUUAAUAUGUGCUGGAAUUUACUUUAUCUUGCUCAAUUUAUAUUAACAUGCUAGACGCACAGUGAAACAUUAAGAUUAAUGAAGUCUAAUGCUCAAUAUGACCGUGGAAUCAAACUAAUUAAUACAUGACUUAAAUGUCGUGUAUGUUAAUCAAUCCUAAAUUCGUGUGUCUAGGUGAUUCACAGAGCACGUAACGAAUAUAAAACCUAAAUCAGUGCCUACCAAUACUAUUAAUAGAGCAUGUAGUUCCCCGCCCCACAAAGCAGUCCUCAAAAAUUAUUAUUACAAUAAUAAUAGAUGUAUUUACAAAUAUUACAAACUAAAUACUAAAAAAAGAACAAAUUAGAAAAACAACAAACUAAAUGGGACAACAUAGUCCAUUAAACAUCCUGGGGACUCUUCAGUUUCCAAAACCUUUUAGACACAAUAAAAUAGUAUGGCAAGAACAGGAAGGAUGAUAGAACAUACCAACAUAUAGUAGACAAACAUAACACAAUUAUUUCCAAUAGACAUGCUUUCUAGUUUCGUGGCAUGACAUAAUCAACACACAUAAUGUAAAAUACUACAUCAAUUUGGGAACUUACCAGUGAUCAGCAGUAAAAGAAUAAUAGGAAUAAUAAAACAUGGCACUUGUAACAGCAAAAUAUGCAAUAUAUUUUAGUAAGUCUUGAAAGAAACCCAAAACUCUUGAAAAUAUCUAUUUGCCUUGAAUUAAAAAUCGGUAAUUCUUUUUAUUGGUUUUAGAGAAUAGUGUUAGUAAUGUCAAAACUGUGGUGUUAAUGAAAAUAGAAGGGUUGUUAUAUAGUAAGAGGGUUGUGAGCUAAGGUCCAAUUAGCCAACCCAAAAAAGGAAAGAAAUUAUAAAAGAUCAAUCCCAAAUAAUUAAGGAGAACAAAAGGGCAUUACAUCAAGUUAAUUGGGGGUCAAAACGGGUAAAGGAAAGCAACAUUUUUUGAAAUUCAUCAGAAUCAAUUAAGGGGGCAAUAAAUCAACUAAUUAUUCAUAGAUCAGUCCAAAAAAAAGGAUAGCAUAUGUUUAGAAAAAUCAAAUAAAAUAAUUUCCUUAGUUAAGUAAGUAAAUUCAAUUAGAAGCCAGUUUACCAUAAAUGGGUGAGUAAAAGGAUACUAAUCUAACAGAAAUGCGUAUUACCAUCAUAUAUGUUCAAAUUAAUUGUAAAAAACAAUAAGUCAACUAGUUACGGUAAUCAUACUUAGUCAUUUUUGUCAAAAUAUCGAAUCAAUUGUCAAUUAGGAAUAAACACAAUCAAUACUUUUCCAUUAACACUGAUUCAAACAUAAUCCAUGCAUAAAAACUUUCAAAAACAAUCCGCAAUUGGUAAUUAUAUUGACUAUCAAAAAUGAGGAUUUUCGCACAUAAUGGUCCACGUAAUAAACCGGAUUAAAUCAACAUUCACAGUCAGAUACCAUAAUCCUUAAAUCUAAGAGGUUAAUUUAAAUAGCUUGAGUGAUGGAAAGAAUAUGCAAAUCAAAUUAAUGAAACAAACAUGCAAUUGAGGAAUUAAAACCAUAUAAUAGUUGGAUCUGAGGGGCCGCGUCGUUGGUUCGUGGCUACUAAAGGCAGUAUUUGAUGGAGGGGGAGGGCGACGGAGAGAAGGCCACAAUGCUAUUCACUGAUGGAUAGAUAAACAGAGGGAUCCUGCAACAGCUCUGGGUUGGCUCACCGCUGUAAAUGGUGGAACAUAACUGGAGGUUCACUGUUAGUGUUAGUUUACUAGCGGAGAGAGUGGAGAAGCAGUGGGGUGAAGCAGAGAAGAGGAGGGGCUCAGAGGUAGCUGGUAGCAGUGAGGUCGCGAUGUUGGCGUUGUCUUCUCCGGUGGCUAUUUCGUGGAUUGGGGGAGGCGGUGGCACGCCUAUUUUUAUCGAUGUCGGCACUAUUUUUUGGUCGCGACAACUGGAGGACAGAAGAGGAUGAGAGGGGGUAGAGGGGAAGGGUAGGCUUACUGGUGUUGGGGAUGGCCAGUGGCAACCGUGGACGACGGGGAGAAGAGUAGAGAGAGAGGAGGUGAGAGAGAGGAGGCGGAUGAUUAGGAAAAUAUUUUAGGGUUUCCUUUUGAUGGUUCUUAAAAAGGAAGGGGGAAGUGUUUGGUGUCAUCCGUUGGAUCCAUUAAGGUC